Long non-coding RNA from Odontomachus brunneus, 858 nucleotides. RefSeq lists it as uncharacterized. The record is from RefSeq and is a predicted model, not a curated record. The transcript has 4 exons. Lineage: Eukaryota; Metazoa; Arthropoda; Insecta; Hymenoptera; Formicidae.
GUGUGAAACGAAUUUCGAUAUUCCGCGAUCGCGACCUUCUAAAUAACACAGUUGACUGUCACUGCAUUCGCCGAGGACGCCAUUAGAAUGAGAGACGCGGGGGUGAACACGUCGUGACACGAGACGUACGAUUUUGGGGAGAAUUGCAGUACAUACAAUAGGAAUUUCGGUACUCCGUGUACACGCUCGUCGUGCUGACAUCCUUGUGAACAGCCAGGAACAUCCAGAAGUGCAGAAGAUCUUCCAGCAAGGUUUAAAGCUCUCUUACAUCAGACACGACUGCAGUUUCGACGAAAGCAGUUCUGCGUUAACAGAAAAAUCUAAUUCGCGUUUCAAGAUGUGCUAACGGAAUUUGUGGAUGAUCACAUCGGAUGCAGAUGCAGUUUCAAUGAAUGCAAAUCGAAGUAAUCGACUGAGUUAAAGCAUCGUCACGUCGACAAUCUGUAAUGGGAUAUGUCCAGCCCUAAUGACUCGACGUUUGUGUCCAAGGCUGAACUAGAAAAUGGGUACUUGUAAGUAACAGAAAAGUAAAAAAUGAAAAGGAAAGGUUGGAUCUGAGAGAUCCUAUGUAUUCUAUUUUGUUCUUUUUAAAUUUUUGUAAUAUCUUCAGCAUUUUUUUCUAUUAGCUGUUAUUUAAUCUCAAUACUCCUCAAUCAUGAGAGAUUAUAUAAAGUUUGAGAAAUUAUAAAAGUACAACAAAAAAAGAAAGAAAUUCUUCAAAUUCCAUCUUUCCAAUGACAAAGGUGAUAGGUGAAAUAUUUUAGUUAACAAAUGAAAAAUCUCAUGAAAGUCAGUACGUUUUACAAUAGUUUGUAUAUUUUUUGCAUGUUUGUGUCGUCCCCAUCAAUGAUAAACUGC